CGGCGUGUAGUUCAGAGGUAGAACAGUGGACUGUAGAGUGUAUGGAAUCACAAUCUAAUCAAAAGUAUAAAUCUAAAUCUAAAUAUAACGAAAAAUUAAAAUUAAAAGUAAGAAGAUAAAUGUAGAUAUGAAUCGAAGUAAUGAAUUGCUAUUUAUUAUGUUCGUACAAACAUAAAAAUCAUAGUUAAAUUAAAUAAUGUUUCAAACAGUGAUUCUAUACAUGCAGAAAUCCACAUGUCACCGGUUCAAGUCCGGUCACGCCGA
This 264-nucleotide transfer RNA is filed under the name Methanococcus maripaludis. Its description in RNAcentral is "tRNA-Tyr". Lineage: Archaea; Methanobacteriati; Methanobacteriota; Methanococci; Methanococcales; Methanococcaceae. The record is from RNAcentral.